Molecule: ribosomal RNA, 460 nt
Filed under: uncultured bacterium
Lineage: Bacteria
Description: bacterial SSU rRNA
Rfam family: Bacterial small subunit ribosomal RNA
Source: RNAcentral
UACGGAAGGCAGCAGUGGGGAAUAUUGCACAAUGGGCGAAAGCCUGAUGCAGCUAUGCCGCGUGUAUGAAGAAGGCCUUAGGGUUGUAAAGUACUUUCAUCGGGGAGGAAAAACAAAACUAAUAAUUUUAUUUCUUGACGUUACCCGAAAAAGAAGCACCGGCUAACUCCGUGCCAGCAGCCGCGGUAAUACGGAGGGUGCUAGCGUUAAUCAGAAUUACUGGGCGUAAAGAGCACGUAGGUGGUUUUUUUAAAGUCAGAUGUGAAAUCCCUGGGCUUAACCUAGGAACUGCAUUUUGAAACUGAAAUACUAGAGUAUCGUAGAGGGAGGUAGAAUUCUAGGUGUAGCGGUGAAAUGCGUAGAUAUCUGGAGGAAUACCUGUGGCGAAAGCGGCCUCCUAAACGAAUACUGACACUGAGGUGCGAAAGCGUGGGGAGCGAAACAGGGAUUAGAUACCCGU